GAUGAACGCUGACAGAAUGCUUAACACAUGCAAGUCAACUUGAAUUUGGGUUUUUAACUUAGGUUUGGGUGGCGGACGGGUGAGUAACGCGUAAAGAACUUGCCUCACAGCUAGGGACAACAUUUGGAAACGAAUGCUAAUACCUAAUAUUAUGAUAAUAGGGCAUCCUAUAAUUAUGAAAGCUAUAAGCGCUGUGAGAGAGCUUUGCGUCCCAUUAGCUAGUUGGAGAGGUAACGGCUCACCAAGGCGAUGAUGGGUAGCCGGCCUGAGAGGGUGAUCGGCCACAAGGGGACUGAGACACGGCCCUUACUCCUACGGGAGGCAGGAGUGGGGAAUAUGGGACAAUGGACCGAGAGUCUGAUCCAGCAAUUCUGUGUGCACGAUGAAGUUUUUCGGAAUGUAAAGUGCUUUCAGUUGGGAAGAAACAAAUGACGGUACCAACAGAAGAAGUGACGGCUAAAUACGUG
This 467-nucleotide ribosomal RNA is filed under the name uncultured bacterium. RNAcentral describes it as "partial 16S ribosomal RNA". It matches the Rfam family "Bacterial small subunit ribosomal RNA", at positions 28 to 507 of the family's 1533-position model. The record is from RNAcentral.